This 74-nucleotide transfer RNA is filed under the name Nanobdellota archaeon. RNAcentral's name for it is "tRNA-Ile". It matches the Rfam family "tRNA". Rfam says of the family: Transfer RNA (tRNA) molecules are approximately 80 nucleotides in length. Their secondary structure includes four short double-helical elements and three loops (D, anti-codon, and T loops). Lineage: Archaea; Nanobdellati; Nanobdellota. The record is from RNAcentral.
GGGCCCAUGGCGCAGUUUGGUAGCGCGCUGGUCUUAUAAACCAGAGGUCAUCGGUUCAAAUCCGAUUGGGCCCA